ACAGAGACAGCACGCUUUGCCAAGUCGUCGCGGCGGGACGAUGUGUGACCCCAGCCGCUGACCAUUAAUUGAUUGGUGGAACUUGGUUCAGUCGCACCAAGGCAAUGUCAUUCAGCAUUCUUGCUCUGCUAUUCACGAUGUAAUCCGGAUGCACAAUAAUCUCGUCGACUUCAAUGCGUUGAUAUUGCUGACAACCUGGAGUACCAAAAUCACAUUUUAACCCAUUAGUAAAGUUGCCCACACGCACUGCUUUCCUGUACACAAACCCCCAAAAUAGUCGACCAUUCUGUCAGACACACAAUGCGCUGCCGUCACCACGUAAAGCGAGUUGACAAUGGAUCCAGCACAGACUCCAGCGGGGGCUUCAUAAUCAGCAUACUCCAAACUAACUAACCAGCUAAAUUCAUCGGGCUCGAUCACUCGACCACCAACUACUCGGUCGGAUUCGUACCAAGGCGUUGAUCCACAAUCUUUUGGAAAUUUGUCUUCUUCCUCAGCUGACUCUGUUAUCCGCGUCUUCACAAAGGUUGGACAGCAAUAUUUGAAAGGCUCAUUGCAUUCGCUGCUUUCUCGCAUUGCUUUAGUGCCUAACAUGAGUUCCGGACAAUCCAAUAAUAAUACACACGAUUCAGACGAAGUGCAUUGCCGACAGUUUGUUGACAUGACUUGCCAUAACAAAAUGACAAAUAAUAUAAUCUGAUUCAUGAUGCUUUCACGGCAAAUACAGAAAUUGUACUAAACUCUUGAUUACUGCUGCUGUUGUUUUUAUAAUUAUGCACUUCGACUGAUUAUAAGAGUAAUCCAUUUUCCAUUUUAUAUUGCUCUGAUGAAAUUCUAGCAUCAAAAAUUCUCUGAGUUUAAAAUCAGUCAAAAUAUUGUACGAGGGUUGAUCGUUCAAUAACAAAUUAGUACUUUUUUAAAUAAAGUAUAAUUUUAGCA
Drosophila albomicans is the source of this 939-nucleotide long non-coding RNA. RefSeq lists it as uncharacterized. The transcript is spliced from 3 exons. The record is from RefSeq and is a predicted model, not a curated record. NCBI's taxonomy places the organism in Eukaryota, Metazoa, Arthropoda, Insecta, Diptera, Drosophilidae.